ACCGCGCACGGGUGCGUAACACGUAUCCAAUCUCGCCCGUCCACGUCGGGGUAUAGUCCCUUUCUAGGAAAGGAAGUAUUAACUACCCGAGUGGCAUGCUACUUUCCGGCAUCGGAGAUGCAUUAAAGAUUUUAUCGGUGACGGAUGAGGAUGCGUACGAUUAGGUAGUAGGCGGGGUAACGGCCCACCUAGCCUUCGAUCAUUAGGGGUUCUGAGAGGAAGGUCCCCCACACUGGAACUGAGACACGGUCCAGACUCCUACGGGAGGCAGCAGUGAGGAAUAUUGGUCAAUGGGCGAGAGCCUGAACCAGCCAAGUAGCGUGAAGGAAGACUGCCCUAUGGGUUGUAAACUUCUUUUGUUCGGGAAUAAAGUGCAGUAUGUAUACUGUUUUGUAUGUACCGUUCGAAUAAGCAUCGGCUAAUUCUGUG
This 429-nucleotide ribosomal RNA is filed under the name uncultured bacterium. RNAcentral's name for it is "bacterial SSU rRNA". It matches the Rfam family "Bacterial small subunit ribosomal RNA", at positions 95 to 507 of the family's 1533-position model. The record is from RNAcentral.